AUGGACGAAAGUCUGACCGAGCAACGCCGCGUGAGUGAAGAAGGUUUUCGGAUCGUAAAGCUCUGUUGUAAGUCAAGAACGUGUGUGAGAGUGGAAAGUUCACACAGUGACGGUAGCUUACCAGAAAGGGACGGCUAACUACGUGCCAGCAGCCGCGGUAAUACGUAGGCCCCGAGCGUUGUCCGGAUUUAUUGGGCGUAAAGGGAGCGCAGGCGGUCAGGAAAGUCUGGAGUAAAAGGCUAUGGCUCAACCAUAGUGUGCUCUGGAAACUGUCUGACUUGAGUGCAGAAGGGGAGAGUGGAAUUCCAUGUGUAGCGGUGAAAUGCGUAGAUAUAUGGAGGAACACCAGUGGCGAAAGCGGCUCUCUGGUCUGUCACUGACGCUGAGGCUCGAAAGCGUGGGUAGCGAACAGGAUUAGAUACCCUGGUAGUCCACGCCGUAAACGAUGAGUGCUAGGUGUUAGGCCCUUUCCGGGGCUUAGUGCCGGAGCUAACGCAAUAAGCACUCCGCCUGGGGAGUACGACCGCAAGGUUGAAACUCAAAGGAAUUGACGGGGGCCCGCACAGC
RNAcentral lists this ribosomal RNA (567 nucleotides) under Streptococcus mutans. RNAcentral describes it as "bacterial SSU rRNA". It matches the Rfam family "Bacterial small subunit ribosomal RNA", at positions 371 to 929 of the family's 1533-position model. The record is from RNAcentral. Lineage: Bacteria; Bacillati; Bacillota; Bacilli; Lactobacillales; Streptococcaceae.